UUUUCUAUAGUUUAAAAAAAACAUUACAUUUUCAAUGUAAAAUUAAACUCAAUUUUAGAAAAU
RNAcentral lists this transfer RNA (63 nucleotides) under Curculionoidea sp. 9 KM-2017. RNAcentral describes it as "tRNA-Glu". The record is from RNAcentral. Lineage: Eukaryota; Metazoa; Arthropoda; Insecta; Coleoptera.